Long non-coding RNA from Acinonyx jubatus (cheetah), 7525 nucleotides. RefSeq lists it as uncharacterized. The transcript has 2 exons. The record is from RefSeq and is a predicted model, not a curated record. NCBI's taxonomy places the organism in Eukaryota, Metazoa, Chordata, Mammalia, Carnivora, Felidae.
CUCCCAAAAAUAAAUAAACAGUAAAAAAAAAUUUUUAAAUAAAAAGACUGUCUAAGAUAAGUGUGGCAAGAGGGCUAAGACACAAUGAAGAAAAAGGUUUCUCCAAAAAGUGAUUCAGACGUGAAUCUGAAUCGGCUAAAGCUCUGAACUGCCACUUUGAUCGCUCUAAUCCUGACGACAAAUGUGCCAUCUAACAUAAAUCUCCCUUGUUCUGAACUCAGGCUGGAAUUAUUUAGAAAGGCAAUCAGAGGAUGGCUAAAUGAUGGCCACUUCUUAUUGCUAGAGUACAUGGAUAUGUUUUCAUUAUGCUAACAAGACUUGGUGUGGUGAGAGUGUUUCAAGGAAGAAUUUCCUAAGCCCUGCAUUUAAUUUACAUUUUGCAAAACCCCAUUUUUAAUCAGACUCUUUAUUAAAAGCAUACUCAUUGGGAGCUAAUGGUAAGUUAGAGAAAAUAAGUUUAAAUCCACAGUGCAGCUGUUCUCCCACGUGCACUAGUUACAUUACACCAGCAUUUGGAGAUUGUACAGAAACGGGAGAACCUAACAGGACAGCUACUUCAGCUCAGAUACCCCAUAAAUUAUUCAAAACGUACGCACUGCGGUCUAACAUACAUAUAUCUGCUACGUACGUAAUAAUUAUUCCCUCACAAGUGUUUUUAAUCAUUUGGUAUUUAAUUACUGCGCGCUAUUUGUCUUGGGAAGGCAGUCUGAGAUGGGAGUUAGGGCAGAGAGAGGAGGCUGGCUUUCAUCAAACCAAUGGAGAAACCGCUUGAUUUUAAACACAGCUUUUUUUGCUUUUGUACCUGGUGCAAAACAUUAGGCUGUACUCUCUGUUUCCCAGAGUCUAGGAUUUUCAUUGGUGUUUUCUUUACAAAGGAGGGAUGGGGGCUGUGACUUCCCUCCACAGUCUCCCAGGCGGGGCUCCAGAUGCCCUUCUUAAGGAGACAAAGCAUAAACUGCAUUUUAUAAGAGGUUCUAUUUGCAGAGGUCAUUUUGAUCAAGUGUACAGACCCACUUGUUAUUACCAUUUAACUUUGCAACUGUCAUGGGAUUGUUUAAUCCAUCAUCAAUGCAUGGCCAAAUAUGUAUGUGUGUAAGCAUACGGAUAUGCAUAGGUGGUUAUAUAAAUGUGCGUUUGUGUGUCUUUGUGGAUAAAAAAUUUUCUUUAAACAACCGGAGCAAGCUAAUGUAAUGGAAAUUCUGCUCAUUUAGAUGUUUUAGUCUUGAAGUUGAUUUUCCUAUGACAAGAGAGUAAGUUACAUUGAACCUUUCAUCUCAUUACCGUGUAAGUAAACAGACCUCAUCUAUAUAGCUAGACCAAAUCAGCCAAAGAGCCAAAUACUCUGUGAUCCACCAUCAAGGGGAGAAAACAAUUAUUUUAAGAAGCUUGUUUUCAACCCAGAUGGUUUGGUUCUGCACAAAAUCACUUGAUUAUGUGCUUCUCUCAACUUUGAAACUAUGGACCUAUCUGUCCAUGUUUAACAAGAAAGUAAAUGCCACACAUUUGUAACAAAUUAAGUUAAUGGGUUUAAAGCACGUAGCACAAAGGGGGAAGUGGGACUUCUUUUGGGGUACAACUGGAGAGUAUGGCCAAGUCUAGGUAGGCAGGUCUGGAGUCUUGGCUCAGUGGACUAUAAGCUGCAGUCCCUUGGAAUGCACUCAAACCCAGACCAGAAACCUGUUUGUUUGUUUGUUUGUUUUUAUUUGAUAUUUAUUUAUUUUUAAGAGAGCAAGAGCAGGGGAGGGACAAAGAGAAAGGGAGUGAGAGAGAAUCCCAAGCAGGCUGCAUGCCCAGCACAGAGCCUACUGUGGGGCUCGAACCCACAAACCAUGAGAACAUGACCUGAGCCGAAAUCAAGAGUUGGAUACUCAAUCGACUGAGCCACCCAGGUGCCCCAGAAACCCAGUUCUGAUGCAAGAAAGAGUGAGUUAGGGGAACCGCCAUGAUGCAAAGGAAAGCUAAAGGCGUUGUUUUGGGUUUUUUGUGUCUCUUACUUUUUAUAAUGCCUAAAUAAAUCUUCAGGCCAUAUUCUCAGAACUCUAGGCCAGGGAUUACAACUCAAAUGCCUUCAAGUAAAGUAAUUGAGUGAAGCAGGCACACAUAAUAAAAUUAUUUCUCUAUGAUGAGAAAUACAACAAUGUAAGUCCAAUGACAAAUGGCAGUGGACACAGGGACCUUAAUGUUAGGAGGCAACAGGGACUUCUGUGGACAAAACCAAACUCAAAAUAAAAACUGCCUGCACCUUCCAGAGAGGGCUACUGCCACUAGCUUUAUGCCAUGGAAGAGAGGGCCUAAGCUGAUGGAUAUUUGGAGUUUUCAAGAGUAGCCACAAAUUCAGAUGUUCAUAUAAAUGUUCCAAUUUUAAAAUGUUGGCUCAGUUUUAUUUUUAAGAACAUGCAGUUCAAAUCAAACACCAGUUUGCAUCAUCUGUAGGCAAAGGAGGAAUCCACAAGAAGUAAAAUGAUGCCCUAAAUAUUGGUCCUCUGUGGGAGAACAAGUCAGGGAUUAUCCCUUGCUAUCUAAGGUGCUAUUUAUUCACACAUACACACGGACAUGAUGGAUGUAUGGCUGGAGGACAGACGUCUGUGGGUAUAUACAGGUGUGCAUAGAAAAGCCCUUCGACAUAUUGGGAGAAAAUGCAAGAACUGGGUAUGUACCCUGAUGUGGUUCCCAUGACACUUCCAAUCUGUAAGAGAAGUUGCAAGUCAAGGUAGGGGUUAGGUGGGUGUUGCGAGCAUGACUGAGGAGUCUCAUACACAGGGUUCGUGAAAUGUGUGCCUCUAUAUAAGAAAUAACUGCAGUUCCUCCAUGGGUCUUACAUGGGAAGCAAUUUUGGUUGAAACAGAGGUUGAAUGAACACCUUUAUCAUUCUUUAUGAAAUAGGGUAAUCAGGUUUGGAAGAAUUGCAGUGAACUUUAUUACCUGGUUUGCUGUUUUAUAUUAUUUCAGGCCAAGAAAGAUCUGUAAUAAGCCAUGUUUGCUGGUCUCUCAAUGACUUUUUUAUCCUGUUUCCUUGCACGGUUUGUUACUCUGAUUGUGGGUGUUCCACAAUCCCUUGUCAUAAGAGGAAGAACUCUCUGGAGCCACCUUAGGAGCAAUCCAUCAAUAGCACUGUGUCCCUUCUUGGUUUGGCAGUGUGGUCCAUGAAAGGUCUGGGAUUUGGAGAUGCUGUUAAUUCAGCUUCUUCUUAGUCUCCUGCCCUCUCCACCACUCAUGCUUCUUGACAGCAGGAUUCAUUCCCAUAGAGUGACAUCAGCUUUGCUGGAAAACUGCCCUCAGCCCUCCGCAGACCAAGCCGUGGGCUGCAUGCAACAUAGGCAGAUUAGGAAGAGAGUUUGGGCAAGAGUGAGAAGGCCAGAAGGAAGAGGUGACUUGACCGUCACUGAUGUGACUGACAUGGUCACCAUUCCUUCCAGCACAUUCACAAGGAAUUUAACACAGCCACUCAAAAAAUGACUAUGCAAAUGUGAUAAUACAGAAGUGCUUACUACAAUAAGAAAUAUAUAUUUUAAGUUUAUUUAUUUAUUUUUGCGAGUGAGCAGGGGAGGGGGCAGAGAAAGGAGAGAGAAUCCCAAGCAGGCUCUGUGCUGACAGCACAGAGCCCGAUGCAGGGCUUAAACUCACGAACUGUGAAAUCAUGAUCUGAGCUGAAAUCAAGAGUCAGACACUUAACUGACUUAGCCACACAGGUGCCCCAAGAAAUUAUAUGCUAAUCUACUUUCAAAAUAGGCAGUGCAUGAAAAUGGAUCAAAAUUCAAAAGAUUCCAGAGGUAUACAAUGAAAAAUUUUCUUCUCACUUCUAUAUAUGGCCACUCAGGUUGUGAUGUGAUGUUAAGUGAAAAAAGAACAGCGUAAAGCCAAACCUUUCUCCUUCUCUUCCCCCCUCCCUCCCUCUCCCCACCCCCUCUCAACAUGUAUAUUUAUUUAUAAAUUUAUUUGCAAGCAUACACACACACACACACACACACACACACACACACACACACACACACACAGAUGUAUCCAUAGAAGACUGAAAGAAAUAAGCAAAAUGGUUUCAGUGGUUGAGAAGGAGGAUUAUAGAUAAUUGCUUCUACCUUCCUAUAUUUUCAAAAGUGUCUUUCUUGUGUGUGUAUUACUCUAAGGAAAUAAUAAGUUUUUUUUGUUUCACAUAUAAUACCAUCACUGAAGUCUGUAAAGCAAAAUUGGACAUGACCGAUAAUCAGUAAAGAAAGAAAGAAAGGUCACUCAUUUCGUUGUAACCCAGAACUCUCCAUCGAUGGUAACUAAUGUUUUUGCACACUGCUUUCCUGGCCUUUGCAUUUACAUGAUCGUACUUGAACACUGCUGGAUAACUGGCCUUCUGAUUAGCAAAAUAUUCAGGAUAUCUUUUCUGUUACUUACACAAGAGAAAAAUUAUUCGAAGGAAGAAUGUUGCAUGUACACUCAGACAGGUGGAAAAGCUGUGGGUAAAUUUGCACCCUGAUAAAUCAGCAACAGAGAUGAGGAAAAGGACUGUGGUCAGUUGUGUUCCAGUGAUUCCCCCAUUGGGUAUGAGGUCCUAGCACCAGACUGCCCUCCUCACAGCCGUGGUUCUGCAAGGACAUGGGGCUCGGCGGAACAGAGAGCCUGGCAUCAGCUGCUUGGAGCACAGAGACUUAAAAUAGUUGCUGAGAAAGUAUAAAAAAAAAAAAUCCCUCCCUUGAUCCCAGGGACAGUAAAAGGGGGCUCUGUAUGUAUAAUCACUCACUUUAAUGUUAACUUUCAAGUACGCAUAAGUAAUCUAUGAAUACUUUACUAUAAACAUUACAAUACAGAAAUACCAAAAUUAUAAAGUAUAUGGUUUGGGCCAUGUAUUUUUUCUUUUCCUCUAUUUUAUUAUUGAAAAAAAAUGUAGAUUAUUCCCCUUAAUUCUUAUCUCCCAAUCCCACUCCUCACUGGAGAGAGAACCAUUUGGGAUCUAGGCAGAACUUUUCUGAAUGUUGGAUUUGCAUCCAAACCUAUAAUCACACACAGAUACAUAAUGAAUGGAUGCUUUUUUUUUAAUUAAACUUAAACUCUGUUUUUUUAUCCUCAUGGGCUCUAAAUCUCAGUUAUUCUAAAGCUCUUUUCCAAAGCAAUAAUGUUUCCCACAUAUGAAUCACCAAAUGCUAAAUGUGCUCUUCUCAGCAAAUGCAAUUCAUUUGAGAAUAACUCCCAAUAAAUUGCCUGUGAUGUUUCUUUAUUGCUGGAGACAAUGGACAAUGCCACGGCAACGAGGGGUGCACACCAAACCAGUCAUUAGUUUUAAUGUGGUCUGGCAGUUUUAAUCCUUUCUGUAUUUUUAAGUGUAAUAGCAUGGUGUGCUGUGUUAAGAUAUUUUUUUUUUCAUUCUUUUCUUUCUUGAACAGUAAAAUACAGAGGGAAGGUGGGGAGCAGAAUGUGAUAUUUUCCUUACAAGAAAACACAGUGCCUACCCCAUUUCUGCAGACUCUGAGCGAUGUGGGGCAGAAAUUAGGACUUGCUGGUAGUUAGGGUUCCGGGCUUGCUGUUUCCAGCAUGCCCACUCAGUCCUGUCUCACAGGACCUUAUAUUUCUUUAGCUCCAAUCCCCUCUGAAUGCUUUGCUGCCUAACACUCAAAGCCUCAGCCCAGAAUUUAACCAAGAAACUAACUUCCAUACGCAAGUUUAUGCUACGUGAUGUGGGAUGUCAGUUAAAAUCUUUUCAAAAGAUGGGGUGCCUGGGUGGCUCAGUUGGUUAAGUGUCUAACUUUGGUCUAGGUCAUGAUAUCGUGAUUUGUGAAUUAGAGUCCCGUGUUGGGCUCUGUGCUGACAGCUCGGAGCUUAGAGCCUGCUUCAGAUUCUGUCUCCCUCUCUCUCUGCCCCGCUCUGCUCAUGUUCUGUCUCUCAAAAAUAAAUAAAUGUUAAAAAAAUUUUUUUUAAUCUUUUCAAAAGAGAGUGCCUCUUCAAAUUCUGUUCUAUCCCCAUCACCUCAUCACAAAUGCUAAGCUUCAGUGUGACCCCAAUAAAUGAAAGAUGUUGAAAUAAAAUAGUAUUUAACUUCAGAAUAUUUGGCAAUAUUAAACCAGGAAAAUACCAUCUUCUUUCCAAGUCAAAAGGUCUAGACCUCAUCUCCAUGUUCAUGGGUACCAAAGUCUGUCCUCCUUUCUAACUGUGAUACAAGAAGAAGUGGGGGCACGAGAUGGAUGGGAUUAACCGGGCCCCUCCAAGUAACUGUUGGAGUUUCACAAGGGCAGGACAAGGCUCUGGAGUCAGACAUGUUCAAUCCCAACCUCUCCUUGCCUUGUGCCCCUGGGCAAGUUGCCCAGUACUUGUUCUGUGGUCUCCUUAACAUGUACGAUUAGAACAGUGGUAUUUGUCUCAGCAUUUUGGAAGUGGAAGUAGACACAUAGUAGGUCCUUAUCAAGUAAAUGUUCAUCUCUCUGCACUAAGUGCAGACAUAAGCUAGGACUCCAAGUAUCUCCUGGUGCUCUGUGGCUACAUCCCUGUUGGGGAGCAGAGUUUGGAAAUCUCUUCUUUUUAAAGAAGGUUGUGAGAUUAGAACACUGAGGGACCCCAGGAUUAUCUAGAACUUCUGUGCCAGCCCAGGGCACCCUUGUGCUACCAAAACUAUGGCACCAAGGAACUGCCCUCUCCCAGAGAUCAGAGAUGUGACCCCUUUCGCUAUGGGUUCUUCUAAUUAUGCACAUGUGUCUAUCUGAAUGUAUUAUCUCCAUAGCAAUUCACCCUCCUGCCAUUAUGCCUGCCCCCAGAGCUGGAAUUAGCAUUUUGCAGAGAUGUCUGGGAGUUUUUCCUGCAUUCUCCUGAUAGGAAAGAAAAAUUGAAACCUAUGCCAAAAUGCUUGAAAGAAUACUAGCAACGGAUAAGGGCUAGUUAAGCAUGUGCAAGGUGUUUUUAUCACGAUUACUAUUUCUAAAGUAAAGUUUGCUGGAUUAGCCCCCCAGGGGAAGUAAGGGUCAGAAUGUUUAAAGUUUCAUAGCUUUCCUCUCUGAGGGGAGCUCUGAUUCACUGCUGUGAAUAUACACAGACUGAUUAGCAGAAAUGGAGCAUCAGGCAAUUUGGGGUUUUUUUCCCUUCCCUAUUCAGCUUCUCACUAAUCUCCCCCCUCCAAGCAAGCCUAGCAGGACAGGCCUGGAGGGAAGUGAAAUGCAUUUUUUUUUUCUUACCUAGAACAUGUAGCCCCCAAGUCACUCAACUGUAAGCAAGUGUAGAUGAGGUCAGACUUUGAGUCUUCAUGGAGUACAGUCUUCCCGCUCUGAACGUUUGUACGCUCCUGGAAAUGGAGCGCGAGGGACAGAAUUCUGGAAGCAGGCAUGAUGGGGCCUUGGUGGUAGCCCUCUCUCCUGAGUUCUCCGACAAGGCUUUGAUCCUCGUGCCUCAGCUUGGAAGCAGUUGGUAAUGCUCAAAACCUGUCAAAGCACCCUGGGUUAUUGGGGGUGCAACAAAGCCUGGCUCCCCAUCACCUCACCACCUCAGUCAGAGAAGAUCCAGUGUGAGCUAUUUUGUACUUCAGGGCACUACGGAAAUCAUUCAUUGGACAAAACAA